AUUCCUACGGGAGGCAGCAGUGGGGAAUAUUGCACAAUGGGGGAAACCCUGAUGCAGCCAUGCCGCGUGUGUGAAGAAGGCCUUCGGGUUGUAAAGCACUUUCAGCGGGGAGGAAGGGUUGGUAGUUAAUACCUACUGGCUUUGACGUUACUCGCAGAAGAAGCACCGGCUAACUCCGUGCCAGCAGCCGCGGUAAUAAU
This 200-nucleotide ribosomal RNA is filed under the name uncultured bacterium. RNAcentral describes it as "partial 16S ribosomal RNA". It matches the Rfam family "Bacterial small subunit ribosomal RNA", at positions 335 to 526 of the family's 1533-position model. The record is from RNAcentral.